Molecule: ribosomal RNA, 157 nt
Filed under: Cordyceps farinosa
Lineage: Eukaryota; Fungi; Ascomycota; Sordariomycetes; Hypocreales; Cordycipitaceae
Description: 5.8S ribosomal RNA
Rfam family: 5.8S ribosomal RNA
About the family: 5.8S ribosomal RNA (5.8S rRNA) is a component of the large subunit of the eukaryotic ribosome. It is transcribed by RNA polymerase I as part of the 45S precursor that also contains 18S and 28S rRNA.
Source: RNAcentral
CACAAACGAAUCAAAACUUUCAACAACGGAUCUCUUGGUUCUGGCAUCGAUGAAGAACGCAGCGAAAUGCGAUACGUAAUGUGAAUUGCAGAAUUCCGUGAAUCAUCGAAUCUUUGAACGCACAUUGCGCCCGCCAGCAUUCUGGCGGGCAUGCCUG